Molecule: long non-coding RNA, 1180 nt
Filed under: Aplysia californica (California sea hare)
Lineage: Eukaryota; Metazoa; Mollusca; Gastropoda; Aplysiida; Aplysiidae
Description: uncharacterized LOC101848132, transcript variant X1
Source: RNAcentral
GACGUAGUUGGUCCCGUAAAGGGGAAUAACUAGCAGGCUGCCAUUUCUUAAUUUCAUUGUUAUGUCCCUUGUUUUUGGCGGUCUACUAUUCGCUUUUUUUCUUUUCAUUUUUUUCAUUGUUAUGUCCCUUGUUUUCACUUUUUUAUUAUUCGCUUUUUUUCUUUUCAAUUUACAUUUUCGUAAUUAAAAUUAUUUCAACCUCCAAGUGUGCUAUAGCUUCAUGAAUUUUCCCGGAACCUCACCAUCUAGACGAAAUUACAAAUUGUAUAGAUCGAGAUCUAAAAGAUCUAGAAAUCUAGAAAUCUAGAUCUAAAAUCUAGAAGAGUAAGAUCUUAAAUUAAUUCUUUGGUUUCGAAGUGACCAACCCAUUUUCAAAGUUCGAUGACGCGCUGCAAUUUAAAAUUCAUUGUUGACAGUUUGCUAUCACUUUAUCAGCUGAGUCCACAUUCUGGCUUUGGCUGUACUAAAGACUUUAGGGAAGAAUCUGAUCUGGAAUAUGCCAAACAUCAUUAGAUCUAGAUUCUAGAUGUACACAUCAAAGGAAGAAGCUUCGACGUUCGAAGCCGGCAAUUGACAAGGUGUCCGAUGGUAACUUAGAAUAGGAUCAGGUGAUCGCAGGCCUAUAUGGCUUGUGGCGGCUCGUAUCACAGAACAGAUGGCUAAACUGUAAAAUGUACCUGCACUUGCUCCGAGCUGAGUUUCAAGUUGUUUAGAACCUGAAAAUCAACUCAGACAUCGGUCCACGAUUGUCAUUCAACUCAACUACGGGAACUUCUACUUCCCCUCCAUCAUCAGCCAGACCGUUAGAUCUAUCUCCAUCAGGGGCGAAAGCUGACUUGUUUGACAGGUUCCUCGUCCAAUGAUGAUCCUGGCACUGGCCCAUGCGUCUCUUCACCGGCCACCUUUCCAGUGGCUGCUACAGUUGGAGCCUCGCUGUCAGAAAAUGGGAGGACCAGAGACAGUUUCCUGAGACUCUGUGCAGGUUGAGCACCACAGAUGGAUCAUUUCUGCUUUUAAAAUGUUACGUAGCUCGAUGUACCAGGGAAAAUCCUGAAAAACCAAGAACAGUUGAGAUUUUUUGGGGGGUGUUUUUGGUACAUGUUUGUAUUUGUCGCGUGUCCCUUUUUCGGGUACAUGCCAUAUUACUGAUCUUAUUUGUGUCAGACAAAAUUAUUCACGA